Long non-coding RNA from Vitis vinifera (wine grape), 1888 nucleotides. RefSeq lists it as uncharacterized. The record is from RefSeq and is a predicted model, not a curated record. The transcript has 3 exons. Lineage: Eukaryota; Viridiplantae; Streptophyta; Magnoliopsida; Vitales; Vitaceae.
AAUUCAGAGACCCAACUUAAAACCGAAGUCAUCGUCUUUGGCUCGGUCUCUCCGACAGCCACACCCAUGGUUUGGCCCUUCUUACCAACAAUUUCUCUCAAGGCCUCAAAUCUCAAACAGCACAGGCCAAAGCUCCAGCUCUGUCACUGUUUCACUUUCUUCCACGACAAAAUGCCCAAAGAACUAGUCUCAUUAGUUAAGAAAUGAAAUUCCAGGGUCUGGCUUUAUAAAGAAACUGUCAAAUUACAUAGAAAAGUUGGUAUGUGUCUUAUAGUCCUGACCUUCCUCCAAUGAUGGCAACAGCUUGAAGGGCCAUUGAUAGGAUGUUGAUGGGAAACUAAAAUCUGAUGGGAGUUCUACUUCGAUGCCGAUUACGCUCUUGAUGCAUUUCUUGUACCUGUUGAAUACAAUUCUUAUUAUUGGAGAGUUUUCUUCCAUUUAAGCAGUAUUCCUCCACUCUUUGAAUUGCUGGAUAGAGAUGAAUAUAGUAAGAAUUGAUACUUCUUUCAUUCAAAUUGCUGUUCUUUGAAUGCUUUGUAGUGAAUUGUAGAAGAGAAAUUGAAGAAUAAAAGGUAGAAAAUUCUUCUUCUUAAUUAAUUUUUUGUACAUAGACUCGUACAUAUAUAUAUAUAUAUACAAAAAUCCUAGGACCCAAAUUCAGGACUUUCCUAACUCAAUUACAAUAAAAUCCUUUUGAUCACGAGAUUGCCUAAUUCUCUCUUCAGAAUCACAACUUUCUUUAUUUCAUUCUUCCACACUCCCCCUCAAGUUGGUGGAUAGAUGUUUUUCAUUCCCAGCUUGGAUAUGUUUGCUUGAAACUUUGUACUGCUUAAACCUUUUAUGAGUGUAUGUGCAAGUUGGUGGUCAGUAGAUAUAUAAGGGGUAUAGAUCAAUCCACUAUCUAGUUUCUCUUUGAUAAAAUGUCUAUCAAUUUCUUUGUGUUUUGUUCGAUCGUGUUGCACUGGAUUAUGUGUAAUAUUGAUUGUAGAUUUAUUGUCAUAGUAAAGUAUCUUUGGCCCAUCCCAUUUGAUCUUCAAAUUUUCCAAAAUAAUCUUUAACCAUAGUAGUUCAUAAACUUCUUGGGCCAUUGCUCGGAAUUCUUCUUCUGCACUGAACCUUGCUACCAAACUUUGUUUCUUGCUUCUCCAUAUCACCAGAUUCCCGCCAAGAUAGGUGCAAUAUCCUGUAGUUGAUUUUCUAUCAACCACAGAUCCAACAUAAUCUGCAUCUGUGUAUGCUUUAAGUGCUAGUCUUGAACUUUAUUUAAAUAGGAUGCCCUUUCUUGGAAACCCCUUAAGGUAUUGUAGUACUCGAUUAUCAGCUUGUAGAUGGACCUUUUUUGGACUGUGCAUGAACCGACUAAUCACACUCACAACAUAUGCUAUAUCUAGUCUUGUGUGAGAGAGAUAAAUGAGUCUUCCUACUAGAUGUUGAUUUACCAUAGUGUCUUUCUCAGCCUCUCCGAGCUUAUGAUUAAGAUCUAUUGGUGUGCUUGUUGGUUUAUACGCCAACUUUCUUGUUUCUUUGAGAAAGUCUAUUGCGUAUUUCUAUUGAGAAAUAAAAAUUCUUUGCUUAGAGUGUGUAAUCUCAAUUCCUAGGAAGUAUUUCAACCUUCCUAACUCUUUGAUUUCAAAUUCCUUGGUCAAACAUUGUCUCAAAGUCUGCUUCUCUAGUUCAUCAUUUCCUGUCAUGAUGAUGUUGUCUACAUAUACCAAAAGAGUUGUAAGUUCCCUUGAAUCUGAAUGCUUGACGAAUAAUGUAUGAUCUCCUUGACUUUGUUUGUAUCCUAUGUUUUUCAUUACAUUUGCAAAUCUUCCAAACCAUACCCUUAGAGAUUAUUUUAGCAUGUAUAGAGAUUUCUUCAGUUUACACACCUUUUUAGUGGCUA